CAAUAGCGUAUAUUUAAGUUGUUGCGGUUAAAAAGCUCGUAGUUGGAUUUCGGGUGGGACGCAGCGGUCUCGCAUUGCGUUUGUACUGCUGCAGCCCUCCUUCUUGCCGGGGGCGGCCUCUCGGACUUCACUGUCUGGGGGUCAGAAUCGGCGAUGUUACUUUGAGUAAAUUAGAGUGUUCAAAGCAAGCUUACGCUCUGAAUAUAAUAGCAUGGGAUAACACGACAGGACUCUGGCCUAUCGUGUUGGUCUAUAGGACCAGAGUAAUGAUUAAGAGGGACAGUCGGGGGCAUUCGUAUUCCGUUGUCAGAGGUGAAAUUCUUGGAUUUACGGAAGACGAACAUCUGCGAAAGCAUUUGCCAAGGAUGUUUUCAUUGA
This 378-nucleotide ribosomal RNA is filed under the name uncultured eukaryote. RNAcentral's name for it is "partial 18S ribosomal RNA". It matches the Rfam family "Eukaryotic small subunit ribosomal RNA", at positions 592 to 976 of the family's 1831-position model. The record is from RNAcentral.